GCGCCUGGAGCGGCUUCUUCUCCUCUUCAAUUUUCAGCCGGCGGUGAGGGUCCGGUCACCUGCAAACACAAGAAAAACACACAGAGCAGUCGGUUUUACUUUGUUGUUUUUUUUAAAUCAGUUUCGUUUUUUCCUUUUUUAGAUCUGCAAUCAAAUCCUUCUAUUCCCGGUGGCUGCUCCUUCGUUCUUCAGACAGCGGAGUGUUGGGUGGCUCGCCGGGCGUUGCUGCGAUGGAAGAGGGGAUCGUGGGUCUGCCACCGGUUGAAGGAGAUGAUGACGGUGCUGCCCCGGCGCUGGAUCUGUUCGGUCGUCGCUGCUGUGGAA
This 324-nucleotide long non-coding RNA is filed under the name Populus tremula. RNAcentral describes it as "long non-coding RNA (PTRE_LNC003011)". The record is from RNAcentral. Lineage: Eukaryota; Viridiplantae; Streptophyta; Magnoliopsida; Malpighiales; Salicaceae.